GGCGGAAUAGUUCAUUCGGUAGAACAGUGGGGUCAUAAUCCAAAGGUGAAAGGUUCAAAUCCUUUUUUCGCUA
RNAcentral lists this transfer RNA (73 nucleotides) under Gloeochaete wittrockiana. RNAcentral's name for it is "tRNA-Met". It matches the Rfam family "tRNA". Rfam says of the family: Transfer RNA (tRNA) molecules are approximately 80 nucleotides in length. The record is from RNAcentral. Lineage: Eukaryota; Glaucocystophyceae; Gloeochaetales; Gloeochaetaceae.